Molecule: ribosomal RNA, 507 nt
Filed under: uncultured bacterium
Lineage: Bacteria
Description: partial 16S ribosomal RNA
Source: RNAcentral
GGAGUUAGCCGGUGCUUCUUCUGUGAGUGAUGUCCUUCCUGCCGGUUAUUGACCCGCAGGCCUUCUUCCUCACUGAAAGUGCUUUACAACCCGAAGGCCUUCUUCACACACGCGGCAUGGCUGGAUCAGGGUUGCCCCCAUUGUCCAAUAUUCCCCACUGCUGCCUCCCGUAGGAGUCUGGGCCGUGUCUCAGUCCCAGUGUGGCUGAUCAUCCUCUCAGACCAGCUACGGAUCGUCGCCUUGGUGAGCCGUUACCUCACCAACCAGCUAAUCCGACAUAGGCUCAUCCGAUAGCGCGAGUCCCGAAGGUCCCCCGCUUUCCCCCGUAGGGCGUAUGCGGUAUUAGCCUGGGUUUCCCCAGGUUAUCCCCCACUACCGGGCAGAUUCCUAUGCAUUACUCACCCGUCCGCCGCUCGCCACCAGGGAGCAAGCUCCCCGUGCUGCCGCUCGACUUGCAUGUGUUAGGCCUGCCGCCAGCGUUCAAUCUGAGCCAUGAUCAAACUCUGA